CCUAUUUUUUUUAAGUAUGAUAUUCCGGUAUUAUUCAGGUUUUAGAGGCAUUCUUUGGACACAUAUACAGCACAUUCAGAAUGUGUCCCGGUCAGGGUUUUUACCGAAAUUU
Molecule: long non-coding RNA, 112 nt
Organism: Etheostoma spectabile (orangethroat darter)
Lineage: Eukaryota; Metazoa; Chordata; Actinopteri; Perciformes; Percidae
Exons: 3
Source: RefSeq, a predicted model, not a curated record